AGAUGGCGACCGGCGCACGGGUGAGUAACACGUAUCCAACCUGCCGAUAACUCGGGGAUAGCCUUUCGAAAGAAAGAUAAUACCCGAUGGUAUAAUCAGACCGCAUGGUUUGAUUAUUAAAGAAUUUCGGUUAUCGAUGGGGAUGCGUUCCAUUAGGCAGUUGGUGAGGUAACGGCUCACCAAACCUUCGAUGGAUAGGGGUUCUGAGAGGAAGGUCCCCCACAUUGGAACUGAGACACGGUCCAA
Molecule: ribosomal RNA, 246 nt
Filed under: uncultured bacterium
Lineage: Bacteria
Description: partial 16S ribosomal RNA
Rfam family: Bacterial small subunit ribosomal RNA
Source: RNAcentral